GAGAGAGGUUCGCAAGCAGGGAGGGUUGCUACCCAUCCUUCCCCCAGGUUGAACUCCUGGGCUCACUUA
RNAcentral lists this transfer RNA (69 nucleotides) under Bolbometopon muricatum (green humphead parrotfish). RNAcentral's name for it is "tRNA-Ser". The record is from RNAcentral. Lineage: Eukaryota; Metazoa; Chordata; Actinopteri; Labriformes; Labridae.